UGUAAUGCCGUCCGCCCUAGAUCAA
Molecule: non-coding RNA, 25 nt
Filed under: Rattus norvegicus (Norway rat)
Lineage: Eukaryota; Metazoa; Chordata; Mammalia; Rodentia; Muridae
Source: RNAcentral